This 468-nucleotide ribosomal RNA is filed under the name uncultured bacterium. RNAcentral describes it as "partial 16S ribosomal RNA". It matches the Rfam family "Bacterial small subunit ribosomal RNA", at positions 28 to 507 of the family's 1533-position model. The record is from RNAcentral.
GACGAACGCUGGCGGCGGGCUUAACACAUGCAAGUCGAACGGAAAGGCGCUGCUUUUGUGUGGUGCUCGAGUGGCGAACGGGUGAGUAACACGUGAGUAACCUGCCCUUGACUUUGGGAUAACUUCAGGAAACUGGGGCUAAUACCGGAUAGGAGCUCCUGCUGCAUGGGGGGGGUUGGAAAGUUUCGGCGGUUGGGGAUGGACUCGCGGCUUAUCAGCUGGUUGGUGGGGUAGUGGCUUACCAAGGCUUUGACGGGUAGCCGGCCUGAGAGGGUGACCGGCCACAUUGGGACUGAGAUACGGCCCAGACUCCUACGGGAGGCAGCAGUCGGGAAUAUUGCACAAUGGGCGGAAGCCUGAUGCAGCAACGCCGCGUGCGGGAUGACGGCCUUCGGGUUGUAAACCGCUUUCGCCUGUGACGAAGCGUGAGUGACGGUAAUGGGUAAAGAAGCACCGGCUAACUACGUG